This is a non-coding RNA of Pantherophis guttatus, 393 nucleotides long. The record is from RefSeq and is a predicted model, not a curated record. NCBI's taxonomy places the organism in Eukaryota, Metazoa, Chordata, Lepidosauria, Squamata, Colubridae.
UCCAUGGGAGGAGUGUGGAAUUCCGACAGCUACUAAACCUUUCUGAUGUUUCAAGUAACCAAGCCUGCUGCUACAACAGGUAAUGCCCAGGGCCACUGUCGUAGACAAGGACGAAGCUGCUUUCGUUACUGUCCAAAAGACUACAAGAAUAUUGGGAGAUGGAAUUGUAAACCUAGAUACACAUGCUGCCAAUACCUCAUUGGAAAAUAAUGCCGUCACCAUCUACCACCCUGGAUGUCUUCAAGAUAUGGCCAAUGACCUGAGAUUGCUGCUUGCUAUCACUUUAUCUUUCUUUACAUGAAUCAAAUUGCUAUGUAACAAACUCGAAAAUAUUUAUGCAUUGAAGUAAAAUUUGGCAAAUAUUCCUUCAAAUAAAGCUAAAUGAGCAUUGCA